Xenia sp. Carnegie-2017 is the source of this 377-nucleotide long non-coding RNA. RefSeq lists it as uncharacterized. The transcript has 2 exons. Lineage: Eukaryota; Metazoa; Cnidaria; Anthozoa; Malacalcyonacea; Xeniidae. The record is from RefSeq and is a predicted model, not a curated record.
UUUAGCUGAAGGAUUCGCUACAGCAACUGUGCUCCAAAACUUGAUGCAGCGCUAGACAAAAUAAACCAUGGAGAAGCAGAGAAGCCAUCCCAAAUCAAUUUAUUAACCACAAAAAUAUUGGCGUUGUAAGAGUAAAAAAACUGGGCUGGCUUCGCUAUUGACCAUGGAAGCUCAAUUCAAAUUCAUUAUACCUUAAAAGAAACGAUUUUGAAAUAGAUUUUAAGUUUGAGUUAUAGAUAUAUAAGAAAAACAGUUACACAAAUCAAAUUGCUUUUAAGGUAUUUUGAAAUGUAAAUACAUCCAAGAACAAUAAGCUCUUUUUUGGCGCAUCUAGUAAACACACUUCUGGUCGUUUUUGAAUGACCGAACGCUCCCUA